UGUGAGUUUUCUGAGAGUGUCUCAUAUCUAAAUUUUUUUUUCCUACUUUUCAUCUUUUGAAGUGUCUAAAUCAAGAAGAAGGAGGUAUCUAAUCGACCAUCGAAGAAGGAUUAGCACAGUACUAACAUACUGUGCUAAUUUUCUGGACCAGGACUUCUGAUCGUGAUUCAUGGGCUCAUGUGGAUGACUCUUAGAGGCC
This 199-nucleotide long non-coding RNA is filed under the name Elaeis guineensis (African oil palm). RNAcentral's name for it is "long non-coding RNA (EGUI_LNC056109)". Lineage: Eukaryota; Viridiplantae; Streptophyta; Magnoliopsida; Arecales; Arecaceae. The record is from RNAcentral.